AGUCAUUUUUAGUAUAUGUUUUUGGAUCGAUCAAACAAAAAGCCAGCACCACAAAUUUACUGACUUUUUCAAUUGAAUCCCUAGUCUUGAAGGCCAAGCAAUUGAAUUUCGUGUUUUGGUCCCCCGCAAAGCUUAAAUCCCCCUCUGUUUUUCUCAUUUUCUUGACUACUACUCUAUUUUCAGAAUUUCCAAUUGAAGUUUAAGCUAUGGAAUUCAUCCCCUCAAAAUCUAAGCAAAAUCAAAGGCUGCCUCCCCAAAGAGGACAGAUCAAGAUGAAGAUACUGAAAUUUCUAGUAAAAUCAGAGGUUGGACUUGUGUCUGUAGGGAUUGAGUCAGGAAGAUCAAAUCAAAGGCUACUUCCUAAAAGGGGACAGAUCAAGAUGAAGAUACUGAAAUCUCUCCUAAAAUGAGCGAUUGGAUUUGUAUCAGUAGCCAGGUGAGUCUGGAAGCUCAAAUUCCACAACCCCACAUCAAGCUCUAAGCUGCUACAGCUCAGGGAAUGAUUCUAAUUGAUGAAAUUCUUCGAACUUUACUCAGUGUUCUUUAUUUGUACAGUAGAGUAUUGUAUAUUGGUGAAUUCUGUUGAGGACCAUCUUUCAAUUGAUCUUUCGCUUAGACAAUCCCAAUCCCAAUUCCAAUAGUAAUGAUAUGCUGUUCUUACUCGUGAAUUUCAGUAGUUAAAAACCAUCAAAUUGAAAUUUCUUCUCUCAGUGUACAAAUACGGAUAUCAGCUUAUACAGUACAUCAGAUAGUAAUGUCCAAGAAAGUGAAAAAGUACCAAAAACUUAAUACAAUCAAAAUUAAAGCAUUACUGCACAGACUGCUGAUCAGAAUUGGCCCGAGUUGGAGUUCGAUGUGGAGUUUGAGUAAUUCUUUUUCCCAAAUCCAUCACCCACUGACCUGACUCCACUAGCUGAUUUCAACAGAGUCCUGACUAUCCUAAUCUUCACCUCUCCUCUCCUUGGAGGAAGAAGAGCACUCUGUUUUGGUUCCAUCUUCUUCUUCUUCCUUGCUUGUUUUCACAGAACAGGAUAGAGUUCAAUGGGAUAGACAGGGUGCGUGUUUGUGUUUGUGUUUGUGUGUGUGUGAAAGUUCUCAAAGGUAAUAUAUUUAUG
RNAcentral lists this long non-coding RNA (1115 nucleotides) under Olea europaea (common olive). RNAcentral describes it as "long non-coding RNA (OEUR_LNC001355)". The record is from RNAcentral. Lineage: Eukaryota; Viridiplantae; Streptophyta; Magnoliopsida; Lamiales; Oleaceae.